AAAGGAGAGAAACAGAGAGUAAACUAGACAUGACAAGACAGAAAACAGACUAUCAAAAUAAAACAGGAAACAGGAACAACAGACAGAAAACAUGACAUCAACUAAACACAGAAACUUGACACAACACAAGGGAGAACAGAACACAGGGAUUAACCAAAACAUACACAAUACAGAAUAACUAACAAAAACAGGGAACUUACAGAAAACAACAAGGAAGCAACAGAAAUAAACAAACAGGUAACAGGAAUGGAACACAAUACAAAACAAAACACCAAAACCAUGACAUUACCUACUGUAACACAUGUUAUGUAGUUAAUCAAUUGUGGGCUAAAACAUUCAAAAUCACAGGUGCAGUCCAUUACAUUUAAAAAAGAAAUGUGAUACAAUUUCUCCCCAGGAAAAAACAGAAGAGCUCUGGGAAUGAGAUUGAGACUCUGGAGAUGGCGACGACUGAAGCGGGUCCAUUGAUCGAUGCUGGUCAUGCAGUGGAAAAUGAAGUAGCCAAUGACCAAGAGGCAGCCAAAGGAGGAGCCGAGGCUGCUGACCAAUCAGCCACUGGCGUUGACGUGGAACCAAAAGAGUUGGAAUACUCUGACAUUGACUUCCACUUGUUGAAUAGGAAGAGUCCCACAGGGGCAAAUAAUACACAAGAGACCACAGAGACAGAGUAUGCUGAAAUUAAGAACAAAGAAAUGGAGGAGAGACAAGAUGGUGGAGAGGGCGGUGAAAUGUUGGAGGGCAAUGAGGAGGAGGUGAUGAUAGGGGAAGAUAAGGAGACACAAGAGUGUAUGUCUGCAGAGAAGGAGGGAGGAGGGGAUGUGAUAGUUUACUCCAAUGUGAAAGAAAUAAUGGGAGAGAUUUAAACAGUUAAAGAAUCGGACAGAUGUUAGGCAGAGGUGCAUUUAAAGGGGUCUAGGCAGAAACGAGGUUGGAUGGUGGAGGGGAUUGAUUUAUGUGGGUGAGUUCUCUUAUAUAUUCUGAUGUGACGGCUUCUCAUUUGAAUGUUUAUUGUAAAUGACAAUCCUGUGUGUGGUUUUUACCACAGCACUGCGCUUUAAGCCAGAGAUCAGUUGACGUCAGACAUACAGUAUCAACACGUCCACAUGUUAGGGUUUGUGCUAUUUCAUGUAUUCAACUACCAUUAUUCCAUUCUAACCACAGUAUCAGGUGACAACUAUUUUAUGUACAAAGUAUUUAAUCCACACACAUCGCAGCUUCACAUGGCCAAUUCCCUAUCAAGCCACUCAAAACUCAAAACAUAAGUCCAGUAAAAGAAUAGAAAGCUUUUGUGUGCAAACAAGCUUUGGCGUCUUACACAGCAUUUAUUAACACUGUAUCAGCUAGAAUUAACAGCUUUAUGUACUAGUUUAGCUUUUCAUUACUUGUAGACAAUAUGUUGUAAUUAUUAUUUAAGAAAUAAAUACAG
RNAcentral lists this long non-coding RNA (1426 nucleotides) under Sander lucioperca (pikeperch). RNAcentral describes it as "lncRNA (ENSSLUG00000009547.1)". Lineage: Eukaryota; Metazoa; Chordata; Actinopteri; Perciformes; Percidae. The record is from RNAcentral.